This 1340-nucleotide long non-coding RNA is filed under the name Mytilus galloprovincialis (Mediterranean mussel). The record is from RNAcentral. Lineage: Eukaryota; Metazoa; Mollusca; Bivalvia; Mytilida; Mytilidae.
CUUCUACCAUUUCAUGCUUAUAAGAACAGUUCUCCCUAGGAAGUAUUAUUGUACUGUUAUACAACUUGGAAACAGAAAAAGACACAAGACUACAUAUUAAAUGUUUUAUAUCUGUUUUAAAUCAGCACUUUAUUUCAUUCUUCAUUAAAAAAAAAAUGUCUAAGAAAAGUAAUUAAUAUAAGCACUUAAAAGUGAAUACAGGUCUGAAAAUCAAUGUAUAAUUUGACCAGAUGUUAAUAUAUUCUUAGACAAAAGAAACAUUGCAGGUUUUUUUAUAUUCAGUGUAGUAUAAAAAUAAAACCAACAAUAACCAUCACAUGCACACAUUCUUCAGAUAGUUGAAUAAACCUUACAAAUACAUGUAUAAGAAUCAUGAUGUGAUGCAUUUUGUUCCACAAGAGAGAGUGCAAAACAAAUAUCCGUACAUGGUAAACUGGAGGUCUAUUAUUUGUAAAACAAACAAAAAUACUAGUAUACAAAUCAGAAUGUUAAUAAUGCAUAAUUCAUUCACAAUGUGCCAUCCAUAGUGUGCACCAUGUUUAAACCCAUCCCUGUUCUUCUCCAACAGUGGGGUUGACUGUUGGACUUCAAGUGUGAUUAUCAAGUUACACAAAUGGAUUUCUAAACAUUGAAAGCUCUAAAUAACAUUUGCACCCUUGAAACAGUCACUAUGCCUCUCCCUAACUGUUAGUGUGGAGUUUUUUUCAUGAUAUGGCACUCCAAAGUCCAUCAGUUGAACAUUUUAUUAUCCAAGUAUUCAACUUUUCAUGCAUUUGGAAUUGUGGACAUCAUUUUAAAUGGUUCUAAGUUCUAACCAAUGUUAGAUACAAUAAUUUGUACAAUUCUGUUUGUGUAUUUUCCUCCAUGCAACUUUUGUUUUGUCUAUGAGUACAUAUAUAUUCAAACUGUUCAAACAGAAAUUAUCACUGAAAAAGGAUCACUCAUCAGAAUCUAAUAACUUUGAGCUUUCAAGUGAAUGUAAAAUCACAUGUACGGACAAUAAACUUUAAACAUGGUUAUCACAUAAAAUUCUUGCUAGAAAUAAUGUAUUAUUAGCCAUUUAUGAUAAUUGAUCUUAUCACAAAUUUAUAUAUGCAAACUAGGCAAACAUCUUCCCCUUAAACUGACCUCAUCAAGUGCAGAUCCAGGGUUUAAAAGGGGGAGGGGGCUUAAUAGCCCAUGUUUGGAAAAAAUUAUCAUAUAUGUAGUUCAAUACAGGAAGGAACAGACCACCUGUCUCUCCCUCCUUAAAAUGCAUCAAUACGGGGGAAGGAACAGACCCCCCGUCUCUCCCUCCUUAAUAUGGAAGGAACAGACCCCCCGUCUCUCCCUCCUUAAUA